AGCACCUGCACGUCAUCAUUGUGUGGUUAUGAGUUCCUGACAUCUCCACAGUUUGCAGCUGGAGGGCAGUGGCACCUUGGGGUGGUGUUUGAGGGUCCCAGCAUGAGGGAAGAGAUGAGAAUCUUGACUCCUUGUUUCAGAAGGCUGAUUUGUUAUUUUAUGAUAUAUUAAAAGAAUAUAAUAUAUGUCAUAUAUAUUGAUAUAUAUAGCUUUAAUAUAUAACCAUAUAUAGUAAAGCUAUAUAUAUCAAAAUAUAUAUAACUAUAUAUUAAAGCUAUAUAUGGCUUUAAUUNGCUCCGGGCAGCAGCGCUCCCAGGGCCAGCAGGGCCACAACCAGGGCACAUCCUGCCCUCUGGGGACAUGGAAGGAAUGUCACCUUCAGUGUGGCUGCCACGGACGGGGAAGGAGCGGCCAGCAGCAGGAGUGCUGGCACAGCUGUGAGAGUCCCCCGGCCAUGGAGGUCACCGUUGUCCCCAGGGCUGCGAGGGGACCAGAAAGGGGAGCUGCCCUGCAAGGGGCUGGUGGGGCAGCCACUGUGGAGGAGCCAGGAGGGGACACGAGUGCUGGGAUCUGGUGCCAGGCCCAGGAGCCAAGGGGACAGAGCCAGGACUGGCCUGGCACUGCUGGGACACACCUGGGACACCUGUCACCGGUGCCACAUGGAUCUGCAGAGCACGGUGAGGUGACCUUGGGCUGGCACUGCUGCAGGUGGCAGGGACAGGCUGGGGUGGCUGUGCUGGCUCUGCUUUGCUGCUCCUGGGGUGAUGGCAGGGCCAAAGCCGGCUUCUGGAAGAGAAAAAGGUGAGGGAAUGGGAAAAGAGGGGGUUUCUGCAGUCUUGGCAGGGGCAGGGAGCCCGUGUGAGCCAGGAGCAGCUGGACAAGGAGAGAAGGAAAAUAACAACUUUAGAAGAAGAGAAACUGGAGCUGCUGGAGGUCAGAGCACUCCUGGUUUUCCAGAGGGGCCAGGAUCACACCGGAGGGGCCGUGGGAAGGAGCACACACAUCACACCCUGCCACAGCUCAGCCCCUUUUCCAGCAUCUCAUGGGAAACAUUCCUGCCUCCCAAAUUCCUACAGAGCCCAGCUGGAUUUAUCCACAGCGGGGUUUAUUGAGGGACUGAGGCUUUUAGGAGAAGAAUUUGUUGGGAAAACCACCCUUGUGGCCGUGGGCAGCCUGGGGUCAGUGUGUGCAGCUCAGAGGGUCCCUGGAGAGCCUGGGCAGAGGCAGGAGAGCUGGAAUGUUGGGAAGGGCAGAGAAACAGGCAGGGCUGGGGGCUGGGUGACAAUNCUGAGGCCUCUCAGCUUCUCAGGAGAAAAAAUCCUAAGGAAAGGAUUUUCCAUAAAAGAUGUCUGUGACAUUGGAGGCUCUGGGCUGAUCCCGAGGGUUCGGUGGAAGCUUUUCCUAUGGGGAAUUCCCGCUGUGGACAGGGAUGCUCUCUCUGCAGGGAUGCUCUGCCCCACUAGAUGGCAACUGCGCUCCGCACAACGCUCGGGAAGCUGCGGACGGGAUAAAAACCCUUCCCUGGAGAGCCGAGGUGUUUCCUCCUCCCGAAACGGCGGGAUCCAGAUGUGCAGGCACAGCGGCACCGCUGGAUGGUUUGGGUGGGCACAGCUGGCUCUGAUAUGCGUUCCUGGCACAUCCCAAAGGCGCCAGCCUCCCUUUCCCUGGGAAAGCUGCUCCUCCCAAACGCUGCCUUUGGGAUUUCUGCCAGCCUGAGCCGGGGGAUCUCUGCAGGAGCACGGAGGGGAGGAAGGGCUCCUGCCGGGGCUCAGAUCCACAGGAUCCUCCCCACAAUCCGUGUCUGAGAUCCACACCUUGGGUGGAACACCCUAAAGCCAAAGCCUGGGCCUGGGCUUGUCAGAGAAUCCUGGAAUAUCCUGAGCUGGAAGGGACCCAGCAGGAUCCUCCAGCCCAGCUCCUGUUCCUGCCCAGACCCCCAACAACCCCACCCUGUCCAUCCCUGGCAGUGCUGCCCAAAGGCUCCUGGAGCUCUGGCAGCCUCGGGGCCGUGCCCAUUCCCUGGGCAGUGCCCAGCAUGGGACAUCUGUGACCCCCAAAGAUGGAUAAGGAACAAUUUCCCCUUUUCUCUGGUGUUUCCAUGUCUCCAGAUCUCUCCCCAUCCACCACUUCCAUCAGGGCAGCUUGGCCCUGCUCUCAGGUGAGUUUGAGCAGAGCAGAUCUACCCCAGAGCACAUCCUCCAUCCCAGGGGAACUCCACAUGGAUCCUCCCCACACAGCCAAAGCAACGUGAGGAAAAAUCCCCUCCAUAAACCAGGAGAUUUCCACGUCCAGCCUCUCUGGGAGUUGCAGAGCAGGACACACUGCUGUCCUUUGUGUUCAUCCUUCAGAGCAGGACACACUCCUGUCCUUGCUGGCACCUCUUGGGCCACUCCUGCUGCACAGAGGCUGCUUUAACCCAGCUCAAUCCUGCUUGGAGCCAAAGCAGGAGGGAAUUGCACCCCACCCUCCAUGAUCCCCAUUCCUGCAGCACAGGGCAGGUGUUUCCCUGAGGUGUUCCCUCUCCCUGAGGCAUUGCUGGGUCCUGUGCACCUGGAAAAGGGGAAAAACAGGGCUGGGAAAGUGUGGAGCACUGCAGGAAUGGAUCCUGAUCCUCACUGGCAUUCAGGGUGGCUCACACGGAGGCCAAGGAGAAACCUGAGGCUGCUCUGACCUCCAGAGCAGGGGAGGGAGGCACCAGAGGAGCAGUGGCGCCUUCAGCGAGGUGACACGGUGACAGGAAUGUUAAUGCUGGCACAGCUCCCUCUCCCAGGUAGGAAGUGCUUCCAGCAGCACAGCAAAUCCAAUUUCUGCUGGAUACAAAUUCCACCAAGCAGCCAAAGCCUCAGUGAGACUCCCAACGAGGCUGGAAUUGAAUUCCAGCUGUGGGAGAUAGGGAGCAGCUCCAGCUGGGAGGAGAUGGGAGCCUGGGACAGGGGCGGGGAGAUUUUGGGAACACAACUGGGGCUCUUGGAGGAGGAGAAGAGGAUGGAGGAGAAACUGGAUCUGCCUGGGGGAGAGCAGGGGGAUGUGGGGCAAGCUGGAGCUGGGUCUGCCCUGGAUCCCUGGAAGUGGCCAAGGCCAGGGGCCACUGCUGCCUCCUGCCCUGCCUGGUGAGCAGCACGUGGAAUCAUGGAAUGGGUUGGGUGGGAAGGGACAUUAAACUCAUCCAGUGCCACCCCUGCCAUGGCAGGGACACCUCCCACUGUCCCAGGCUGGCCUUGGGCACUGCCAGGGAUCCAGGGGCAGCCACAGCUGCUCUGGGCAUCCACACUUCCUUCACUCAGGGCCUUUCUCACCCUCUGGUCGCUCCAUGAAUCCAGGAUCCCUGGGAUCUUGAAGCUGGACCCCAUCUUCAGAGCUGGAGCUCUGCUGGCCAGCAUUUUCCAGGAUACUCAGGGAAAUCAGGGAUCCAGGAUCUCAGGUAUACUCAGGGAAUUUGGAUCAUGCCUUCCCAAAUCCAAGCCUCCUAAAGCAUUUUUCCACAAGAACAAAGAGAUUUAGGGCUCAGAGGAUCCCAGCCUGUGAGCAUUUUCUACCCUUGCCUUCCCCUGGAUGCUGCAGCCAUUACAAACCCCAGCUCAUCCUGACAAAGCAGCACCCUGUGGAAGAAACAAUUCCUUCUCAACAUCCCGUCCAAAUCUCUCCCCUUUUAGUUUAAAACUUGCUCUUUCACCCUCUGCCCUUGUAAAAAUUACUCCUUCAUGAAUUCUUGGCUGCUGUUCCUGCAGGAUCUGGGUUACCCCAGUGGUUAUCCAGGAAAAAGGAGGCAGCAGAGAAAGGAGGAAUGGAUGGACCAACACGAUUUCAAGCCCUGGAUCCUCCAUGAGGAUCAUCCUCCACACCAUCCCGUGAUGGUGUUCACAGGGGUCUGAGGAUGAGGGAAGAGAUGAGGAUCUGACUCCAUGUUUCAGAAGGCUUGAUUUAUUAUUUUAUGAUAUAUAUUAUAUUAAAACUAUACUAAAAGAAUAGAAGAAAGGAUUUCAUCAGAAUGCUGGCUAAGAGAAAAAGAAGGAAUGAAUAACAAAGACAGUGUCCAAGCCAGCUGACUGUGAUUGGCCAUUAAUUACAAACAACCACGUGAGACCAAUCACAGAUGCAGCUGUUGCAUUCCACAGCAGCAGAUAAUAAUUGUUUACAUUUCGUUUUUGAAGCUUCUCAGUUUCUCAAUCUUCUCUUAAAGAAAAGAUUUUUUAUAAAAGAUGUCUGUGACACCAUCCACAGGACCCUGGAUCCCUCCAGUGCCCACUGGAAGUUCAGGCAUUGCCUUCCAGGGGAAUUUUCUGUCCCAAACACCCCUGAGCAGGAAGCUGGAAUAAUCCAAAGGGCAGAAUGAAGAGGGUCCAACUGCAGCAGAGAACCAGCUGCAGGUUUACAGGAAAAAGGAAUUUCCAGGAAUCCUCAGUGUGGAAACCUUGAUGGGGGCCAGGAAAUGUGGCUCCAAGGAUGUCUGGGUGGGUGAAGCUCUGAACAACCCGAGAAAAUAAAUGGUAACACUCGGGUGGUGCUCA
Zonotrichia albicollis (white-throated sparrow) is the source of this 4508-nucleotide long non-coding RNA. NCBI's taxonomy places the organism in Eukaryota, Metazoa, Chordata, Aves, Passeriformes, Passerellidae. The record is from Ensembl.